Molecule: ribosomal RNA, 301 nt
Filed under: uncultured bacterium
Lineage: Bacteria
Description: partial 16S ribosomal RNA
Rfam family: Bacterial small subunit ribosomal RNA
Source: RNAcentral
CAGCAGCCGCGGUAAUACGUAGGGUGCGAGCGUUAAUCGGAAUUACUGGGCGUAAAGCGUGCGCAGGCGGUUCGUUAAGACAGAUGUGAAAUCCCCGGGCCUAACCUGGGAACUGCAUUUGUGACUGGCGAGCUAGAGUAUGGCAGAGGGGGGUAGAAUUCCACGUGUAGCAGUGAAAUGCGUAGAGAUGUGGAGGAAUACCGAUGGCGAAGGCAGCCCCCUGGGCCAAUACUGACGCUCAUGCACGAAAGCGUGGGGAGCAAACAGGAUUAGAUACCCCCGUAGUCCCUGUCUCUUAUAC